AUUGAACGCUGGCGGAAUGCUUUACACAUGCAAGUCGAACGGUAGAGGGGGCAACCCCUUGAGAGUGGCGAACGGGUGAGUAAUAUAUCGGAACGUGCCCAGUCGUGGGGAUAACGUAGCGAAAGUUACGCUAAUACCGCAUACGAUCUAAGGAUGAAAGCGGGGGAUCGCAAGACCUCGCGCGAUUGGAGCGGCCGAUAUCAGAUUAGGUAGUUGGUGAGGUAAAGGCUCACCAAGCCAACGAUCUGUAGCUGGUCUGAGAGGACGACCAGCCACACUGGAACUGAGACACGGCCCAGACUCCUACGGGAGGCAGCAGUGGGGAAUUUUGGACAAUGGGCGCAAGCCUGAUCCAGCAAUGCCGCGUGCAGGAUGAAGGCCUUCGGUUGUAAACUGCUUUGUACGGACGAAACGGUAGAGCGUCUAAUACAGUUUGCUAAUGACGGUACCGUAAGAAUAAGCACCGGCGUAACUAACGUGCCAGCAGCCGCGGUAAAGUG
This 500-nucleotide ribosomal RNA is filed under the name uncultured bacterium. RNAcentral's name for it is "bacterial SSU rRNA". It matches the Rfam family "Bacterial small subunit ribosomal RNA", at positions 30 to 527 of the family's 1533-position model. The record is from RNAcentral.